Non-coding RNA from Salmo salar (Atlantic salmon), 54 nucleotides. Lineage: Eukaryota; Metazoa; Chordata; Actinopteri; Salmoniformes; Salmonidae. The record is from Rfam.
CCCUUAUGCUACUGUAAAUCACUCUGGAUAAGAGCGUCUGCUAAAUGACUAAAA